UACGAAGGGGGCUAGCGUUGUUCGGAAUUACUGGGCGUAAAGCGUGCGCAGGCGGCUUCUCAAGUCAGGGGUGAAAGCCCAGAGCUUAACUCUGGAAUUGCCUUUGAGACUGAGAGGCCUGAGUACGGGAGAGGUGAGUGGAAUUCCCAGUGUAGAGGUGAAAUUCGUAGAUAUUGGGAAGAACACCGGUGGCGAAGGCGGCUCACUGGCCCGUAACUGACGCUCAUGCACGACAGCGUGGGGAUCAAACAGG
This 253-nucleotide ribosomal RNA is filed under the name uncultured bacterium. RNAcentral describes it as "partial 16S ribosomal RNA". It matches the Rfam family "Bacterial small subunit ribosomal RNA", at positions 524 to 776 of the family's 1533-position model. The record is from RNAcentral.